This 459-nucleotide ribosomal RNA is filed under the name Granulicatella adiacens. Its description in RNAcentral is "bacterial SSU rRNA". It matches the Rfam family "Bacterial small subunit ribosomal RNA", at positions 28 to 476 of the family's 1533-position model. Lineage: Bacteria; Bacillati; Bacillota; Bacilli; Lactobacillales; Carnobacteriaceae. The record is from RNAcentral.
GACGAACGCUGGCGGCGUGCCUAAUACAUGCAAGUCGAACGAGAGCGACCGGUGCUUGCACUGGUCAAUCUAGUGGCGAACGGGUGAGUAACACGUGGGUAACCUGCCCAUCAGAGGGGGAUAACAUUCGGAAACGGAUGCUAAAACCGCAUAGGUCUUCGAACCGCAUGGUUUGAGGAGGAAAAGAGGCGCAAGCUUCUGCUGAUGGAUGGACCCGCGGUGCAUUAGCUAGUUGGUGAGGUAACGGCUCACCAAGGCCGUGAUGCAUAGCCGACCUGAGAGGGUGAUCGGCCACAUUGGGACUGAGACACGGCCCAAACUCCUACGGGAGGCAGCAGUAGGGAAUCUUCCGCAAUGGACGCAAGUCUGACGGAGCAACGCCGCGUGAGUGAAGAAGGUUUUCGGAUCGUAAAACUCUGUUGUUAGAGAAGAACAAGUGCUAGAGUAACUGUUAGCGCC